Molecule: long non-coding RNA, 225 nt
Filed under: Lathyrus oleraceus (garden pea)
Lineage: Eukaryota; Viridiplantae; Streptophyta; Magnoliopsida; Fabales; Fabaceae
Description: Pisum sativum (pea) long non-coding RNA (PSAT_LNC015247)
Source: RNAcentral
ACUCAUCCACUUCCUUCUCGAAUGCGGUCUUGGGAGGAGCUUCCUCAGUAGUAACCUCUUCGGUGGCUACCUGUUUUCCUUUAGCUUUGGCAGCUGCCUCAGCUUCAGUAUUCGUGCGCAAUGUUGAUGGUGCAAAUAAGCGUCCACUGCGAGUGAAGCCACCAAUUCCCCCAACAUUGUCCACAACGGAGCUACCAAUGUCAGUGUCUUCUUCGUUAACUUUCU